RNAcentral lists this microRNA precursor (75 nucleotides) under Cajanus cajan (pigeon pea). Its description in RNAcentral is "miRNA gene-KK1_040539". The record is from RNAcentral. Lineage: Eukaryota; Viridiplantae; Streptophyta; Magnoliopsida; Fabales; Fabaceae.
UUUAAAAUCGGUUCUUAAAUAACCGAUUUUAAAAGUAGCACUUUUAAAAUCGGCUAUUGAACAACCGAUUUUAAA